GACGAACGCUGGCGGCGUGCUUAACACAUGCAAGUCGAACGGAAAGGCCCUGCUUUUGUGGGGUGCUCGAGUGGCGAACGGGUGAGUAACACGUGAGUAACCUGCCCUUGACUUUGGGAUAACUUCAGGAAACUGGGGCUAAUACCGGAUAGGAGCUCCUGCUGCAUGGUGGGGGUUGGAAAGUUUCGGCGGUUGGGGAUUGACACGCGGCUUAUCAGCUUGUUGGUGGGGUAGUGGCUUACCAAGGCUUUGACGGGUAGCCGGCCUGAGAGGGUGACCGGCCACAUUGGGACUGAGAUACGGCCCAGACUCCUACGGGAGGCAGCAGUGGGGAAUAUUGCACAAUGGGCGGAAGCCUGAUGCAGCAACGCCGCGUGCGGGAUGACGGCCUUCGGGUUGUAAACCGCUUUCGCCUGUGACGAAGCGUGAGUGACGGUAAUGGGUAAAGAAGCACCAGCUAACUACGUG
RNAcentral lists this ribosomal RNA (468 nucleotides) under uncultured bacterium. RNAcentral's name for it is "partial 16S ribosomal RNA". It matches the Rfam family "Bacterial small subunit ribosomal RNA", at positions 28 to 507 of the family's 1533-position model. The record is from RNAcentral.